GACGAACGCUGGCUGCGGGCUUAACACAUGCAAGUCGAAGGGAAAGGCCCUGCUUUUCUUGGUUUCGCUAGGGGCGAACGGGUGAGUAACACGUUAAUACCCUUCCCUUCACUUUGGGAUAACGUCAGGAAACUGCGGCUAUUACCGUAUUGGAGCUCCUGCUGCAUGGUAGGCAUCGGAAAGUUACGGCGGUUGGGGAUGGGCUCGCGGCUGAUGCGCCUGUUGGUGGAGUAGUCGAUGAGCAAGGCUUUGAAGGGUACCCGGCCUGAGAGGGUAACCGGGAACCUUGGGAAUGAGAUACGGCCGAGAGUCGUAAGGGAGGCAGGAGUGGGGAAUAUUGCACAAUGGGCCGAAGUAUGAUGCAGGAACGCCGCGUGAGGGAUGAUGGCCUUCGGGUAGUAAACAGCUAUCGCCUGUGACGAAGCGUGAGUGACGGUACUGGGUAAAGAAGCACCGGCUAACUACGUG
RNAcentral lists this ribosomal RNA (468 nucleotides) under uncultured bacterium. RNAcentral describes it as "partial 16S ribosomal RNA". It matches the Rfam family "Bacterial small subunit ribosomal RNA", at positions 28 to 507 of the family's 1533-position model. The record is from RNAcentral.